CUCAGUAACGCCUUGAAUUUCAAAUUAAAAUUUUCAGCCCAUCCGUUAGUUCAACUAGCAGAACUCGAAAAAUGUAAAUAUUAUACGCAAAUAUUAAGCAGCAAAUCUCAGAUCCAAGGCAAUCACAAAUAUUACGCUAGAAUUAUCAGAUCUGAUCCAAAUUAUCUUCAAGCACAUAGAAAGCCCUAAAAUCGAUCCUAAACUCCUCUACCUCGUUCUCUUCACCGCCACUUUCUCCCUCCUUCUUGUUCUCCUCCGUCCGCCGCUCAAUCAAUUGCAGGGGAAUCGAAGGAACUGAUUUCGAAUCAAUUUGGAACGCGAUCGAGUCGUCAGAUCGAUGAGAGAGAAACUAGAGAGAGAUUCGGUUGGGAGUGCGUCAAAUUCAUGAGAUACAAUAAAUCUUCAAAAAUGAAAUCCAAACCCUAGGAAAGAGAAUCGCUUAUAGCUUCAACAAUAGCAACAACGACAAAAUCGUUUAAAGCAAUUACAGUAGCAGUACUUGUGGUGCAUCAAUUGGAUUGAAGCAGAAGCAGCUUCUAUCAGAAUUAUGCAAAAUCCUAUCUCUAAACAAUUCAACCUAUAGAAAUAUACUUAUAUAUACAAUGAGAUAUAAUGAGAUAUUUGGAUAUGAAAUUUCGAGUAUUCUUUUUGUUAUUCCUAAUAAG
This 665-nucleotide long non-coding RNA is filed under the name Panax ginseng (ginseng). RNAcentral's name for it is "long non-coding RNA (PGIN_LNC013708)". Lineage: Eukaryota; Viridiplantae; Streptophyta; Magnoliopsida; Apiales; Araliaceae. The record is from RNAcentral.